GUCUGGUCGAUUCGGGUUCAAAGUGCUCAUCUUCGCUUUAGUUUGCCUCUUUUUUCUCAAGGAGAACUCGAAGGAAGCAAGCAGCGAUGGCGAACGAAGGCGAUCUUUGGGACGAUUCCGCCCUCAUCAACGCCUUCGACGACGCCAUGUCCAAGUACAAGCUAAUGCAUGGCCAAAAGAAUAGCAAUGCAUCCAAAGGAGUAGAAGUCGUUGAUGAGCAGGAAAAAAGUAUUUCUUCUCCUGGCCAGGGAAAUCAUAUCACGAUGAGGGAAGAACCUGAACACGCUGUAGCAUCAAAUUGUGCAGAAGUUCCUGGAGAGGCUAAGAAUGACCCAUCAGUUAAUGAAAACCCUUGUGUAGAUGUGUUGGCUGAGGGAUCUCAUCCAGAUUCAUCAAAUGGCAUGCCUGUACAAGAUACCAUAGAAGCCCUUUCAUAUUCUCAAGGUGUUGAAGGUUAUGACCAGUUGCUUGCGGAAUAUUAUGAGCUUGAACAAAAGAGGGAAAAGGUUCUUCAGCUGCUGCAUCAAUAUGGCGACUGGAAUUACCAGUUUCCUCAGGAUGCUACUGGAGCUGCUCCUAGUGCACCGUGGACUACUGCUACUGCUGCUAUAGAGCCUUGUGUCCCUUCAGGCCACACAUAUCCAGUUGGUAGCUCAUGCUGCCCUUGUGUUUGUCAGUCAUUUGUAGCACCAUGCCCUGUUUAUACUUGUUCUUUCGGUAAAACGUGUGUCGGCCAAAUUUGCAAUGGUGCUCCUUCCACAAGUCAUCAAAAAGCACCCGUCGAGGAUUCUGACAUUACGAGGACAGCUAUUGAAGCUGCGGAGAAAGCAAUAUCUUCUUUGAAGAUUGGAAGAUCUACUGGGGAAGAAAGUGGAUCUGGAUAUUUAUCAGGUAAAGAGAAAAAGCCAGAAGUGGAAACUUUACAGAGUGAAAGUUCCGAAACUGAUCUUAGUGUUGUUCUGAAUGCAUGGUAUUCUGCAGGCUUUUACACGGGCAAGUAUCUCGUGGAGCGGUCUGUUCGAGAGAAACGGCAUAUUCCUAAACAAUAAGAACUGAUCCAUGGUUUUGAGCUCCUCCAAAGCAGUUCUGUGCUAAAUUUUUUGACAUUCGUAUGCAUGAUUAUUCGUGAUUCGAUAUGUAUGUUCUUGGACCGUGACUCCAUCAUGCAAGUUGGAAACCAGACUGAUAACUGAUUUCCC
RNA transcript from Rhodamnia argentea, 1199 nucleotides. RefSeq lists it as uncharacterized. The transcript is spliced from 6 exons. Lineage: Eukaryota; Viridiplantae; Streptophyta; Magnoliopsida; Myrtales; Myrtaceae. The record is from RefSeq and is a predicted model, not a curated record.